This 222-nucleotide ribosomal RNA is filed under the name uncultured bacterium. RNAcentral describes it as "partial 16S ribosomal RNA". It matches the Rfam family "Bacterial small subunit ribosomal RNA", at positions 328 to 539 of the family's 1533-position model. The record is from RNAcentral.
ACGCUCGACACCUACGGGGGCAGCAGUAGGGAAUCUUCCACAAUGGACGCAAGUCUGAUGGAGCAACGCCGCGUGAGUGAAGAAGGUUUUCGGAUCGUAAAGCUCUGUUGUUGGUGAAGAAGGAUAGAGGUAGUAACUGGCCUUUAUUUGACGGUAAUCAACCAGAAAGUCACGGCUAACUACGUGCCAGCAGCAGCGGUAAUCUGAGCGGGCUGGCAAGGC